AACGCACAUUGCGCCCCUUGGUAUUCCGAGGGGCAUGCCUGUUCGAGCGUCAUUACACCACUCAAGCUAUGCUUGGUAUUGGGUGCCGUCCUUAGUUGGGCGCGCCUUAAAGACCUCGGCGAGGCCUCACCGGCUUUAGGCGUAGUAGAAUUUAUUCGAACGUCUGUCAAAGGAGAGGACUUCUGCCGACUGAAACCUUUAUUUUUCUAGGUUGACCUCGGAUCAGGUAGGGAUACCCGCUGAACUUAA
This 249-nucleotide unclassified non-coding RNA is filed under the name uncultured Aureobasidium. Its description in RNAcentral is "sequence contains ITS2". The stretch from base 1 to 52 matches the Rfam family "5.8S ribosomal RNA", at positions 103 to 154 of the family's 154-position model. The record is from RNAcentral. Lineage: Eukaryota; Fungi; Ascomycota; Dothideomycetes; Dothideales; Dothioraceae.